Xenopus laevis (African clawed frog) is the source of this 3002-nucleotide long non-coding RNA. RefSeq lists it as uncharacterized. Lineage: Eukaryota; Metazoa; Chordata; Amphibia; Anura; Pipidae. The transcript has 5 exons. The record is from RefSeq and is a predicted model, not a curated record.
UUUUUAUAACUUUAACUAUUGCAUCUUGCUGUGUCAAUACUAAUAUUUACACCAAAAAGAACUCUGUGUUUGAAAGAUAGACAUAUAAACAGACAGAUAGAUAGAUAAUAGAUAGAUACUAGCCCUUGGAUUAAUAGUGUCUCUCAUCCAGACUCUGAAUGUUUAAGAUUUAGAUUUUAAUAAGACAAUAAUUAUAUCAUAUAUUAUAUCAUUAUAUAUGUAACAGAGCAAGAAGAUAUUUAAUUUUGAGGAUAAAGGAGAUGAAUUUUAUGCAAGGUUCUCCCAGAACAUGUUCAUUUAAAUGAAUAUGAUAUAAUGAUAAUGAUGCAACAUUUAGGAAUAUGUUGUUUUUUACAGAAGAAAAGUAAUUUUUGCAUUAAAUGUGGCUGCAGUUUAAGUUGGGUAAGCCUCCAUACUAAGCACUCACUGCAGCCUCUGGAAAAUAAUUACAAUACCAUAAAAAAGAGACUUUUUCGGCUAAUUGGAGCCCGCAGGGAGUGAUUACAAAUGACUCAUUUGUCACUGUUGUCGGGUAUGAAAUUUGCUCUGCAAUGAUGCAGUGAGCUGGCUGCUCUGACAAUGGGCCUAAAGAAAAGGGAGCCGAGUGCGGCAGAUACGAUCUGAAUGGAACUCCUCCAGUAUUCAGCAUGCAGCACUGGGGUUCUUCCAUUUAGCCCAAUCACUGGUAAUAUGAUAAAUACGUUCAAUCAGGUUCUGGCCCUGACAUUACCCAGUGUCAGAGGCCCAAGUCUGCACAUAGCCACAGAGCUGACUCUCUAGCUAGGGAAGAUUAGGAGGAUUUGGGAAAACUCCCAGGCAGGAUUGGAAGAGGUAAAGAAGCCAACACAUUUAUCAGAUCUAGGGAUUAGCCUAACACACAGAUUCACGCCUAUCUCCCCGAUAAAUGGCAAAUAUUGUGUUACACGCUCAUCUGCAUUACCUGCUGUAAAUCCCCUCAGCCAGGGGCAGGCAACACCUGUAUGUUAAAGGUACCAGCAGCAAUUAAUAUUGGCAUAAUUCUUGUGUAGAACAGGGGUCUUUGUUGCACUAAAUAUUAUAUAUAUAUAUAUAUAUAUAUAUAUGUGUAUACAUACACUCUUAAGAUAUGGUAUUAUAUUAUCUGAUGUCAUGUUCUAGGAAAUGCUAAGCUGUACCUUUUUUGAUGAACAUUAAUUUUUAUCAUAUACGCAUAUAUGUGUGUAUAAAUGGACAGCACCUUUUUCAACUUGACUGUAUCAGCCUUUGUGCUCGGUCACGUAUAACACAUAUUGAAAUAUACCAGUAUAUAUAUAUAGAGAGAGAGAGAGAGAGAGAGAGAGAGAGAGAGACAGACAGAAAGAGAGGGGGGGAAGAUAUAAAUAUACAGUACAAAGAUAUAUAUCUAUAUAUAGAUAUAUAGAUCAUUGCUUACAGUAUAUGGGAGUGUACCAAACAAUAUAAAUAUACAGGUGUGUUUGGAAAUUGUUUUGCUAAGCAAAGCUGUGUACUAUAGAUGAUUUUCUUUGGUUUUCCAGAUACCUCAGUUUCUGGUUUUCUGGUUAUAGGGACAUUCUAUGUCUGCCUAUGAUGUAUGUGAGUUGGCUUGGUUUUAUAUGGCACCCAUAGCAGACUUUUAAAAAUGUGUAUAACCUUUAUUAUUUCUAUUUGAAGUCAAUUUUAUUCUUGAAUGGACAGAAGGGAGCUUGGUCAUUCUUCUCUCCAAUAUUAGGAGCACCAAAAAUAAUAAAAAGAGAGACCAGUAAAUAUAUCCCUUGUGAAAGGCCUAGCCUGGUAGCCUGCACCAGUGCAGAUCUUGGUGUAGGGUUCUUGGUGGAAAUCAUGUGGAAAUGGGUUUGGAGAGGUGAAGGUCCAGGGCAAUGAGGUUUAGGACUGGCUGCCACUGACUUACUGGGCUUGACAGACUUGCCCUAGAGGGCGGAGCCCCUGAACAUACCUCCAGCGAGGACCUUCCCUCUCUAACACAGCAGCCUUCCUCAAAAACACUGCAUCCCUCAAACAGAUGGGACCUUCACCUACAAAUCUGCCAACAGUUCCCGUGCAGGUAAGCUGACAGCACAUUGGCAUGGCAUUGUGGGGUGUGGGGAACAAAUAGUAAGGGGUGUCGGGGUUUCAUGCAUGCAAUUAAUAAAAUAGCCCAACUAGUGCCCCUCUAGGCAAGGGAGCUGCCAGUUGCCUCUGCAACUUAUUCUUGUGUCUUGAUUUUUCUCCCCUCUCUCUGCUGUUUCCAUUUAGACCUGCAAUGGAGUUUGGAGCCUCUCGCUUCCAAGAAGCAGCAGCAACAGAAUCUCGCCCUGCACCCAAUCUGCUGUUUCCUCCUUGACUUUAUUAUGAGAAUAGACUGAAGAGGGCGCUCAGUGGCAGAUCUGUACUGUUUCCUCCUUGACUUUAUUACGAGAAUGGAUGGAAGAGGGCGCUCGGUGCCAGCUUGCAGAAGAGGACACAAAAGGCAAUCGAAAUGUUGAUCCCUCGUUCGUUGAUGUGAAACGAAAAGUAACACAGAGAUUUCUGAAGGCAAACCUCCAUAGCCGGUGUAUGUGCAGCUGAUGACAGCCCAAGGUGUGACUUCCCAGGGAGACCGCUGAAUGGGAGCCCUGCAGAAUAAGACAUUCUUCUGCAAGAAUCCGUGUGCCCUUGUAUGGAGGGAGAAUGGGAGACAAACAAGCCCGAGUUGGUUGCCUGGGGUCUAAACAUUAGUUUUUCUCCUCUGGAAGAAAAAAACCUUCUUUGUCCAACCUGUUAGUGCUUUUGUUCUGAGGAUAAAGGCUAAAGACAACUUGCACAGCCUGAGCUGGGAACUCUGCCUUAAAUCCGGACCUGACACUAUUCACAGGCUCUUGACGAGGACAAAAAAGGGGAAAUUAGGCUUAAAAUCUCCCAGGCAGAUGUCCAGGGUUAAAACAGGUUAUUUGUUAAUUGCUUUUGUGUUCUUAAGGGGAGGGAAUUAAGAGCCCGAGGAAGAGACCUGUUAGAAAAAUUAUAAAAUACAAAAAGUUUGCUUUCCA